ACCAAAUGGUUGAAAGCAAACUCAACUUGUACCAAGGUCAAGUCCCACUACUUUGAUCAUUCAACAGCAAGGCUCCUCAAUAGGUUCUCCUGGCUUUCGUUAACAAACUCAGUCUAAUCAUUCAUCUUAGGGUGAUAAGCUAAGCUGAACUGCAGAAAUGUAUCCAACCUUUUUCAUAGACUCCUCUAGAAGUGGCUCAUAAACUUUGUAUCUUGGUCUGAUAUAAUAGUCUUGGGCAC
This 239-nucleotide long non-coding RNA is filed under the name Elaeis guineensis (African oil palm). RNAcentral describes it as "long non-coding RNA (EGUI_LNC022676)". Lineage: Eukaryota; Viridiplantae; Streptophyta; Magnoliopsida; Arecales; Arecaceae. The record is from RNAcentral.